Long non-coding RNA from Lepus europaeus (European hare), 316 nucleotides. RefSeq lists it as uncharacterized. The record is from RefSeq and is a predicted model, not a curated record. The transcript is spliced from 3 exons. NCBI's taxonomy places the organism in Eukaryota, Metazoa, Chordata, Mammalia, Lagomorpha, Leporidae.
GCGAGGGGACGCGGGGCAGGGGGAGAGCAAGGGCAGCGCCACGCCACGCCACGCCACGCACAGCCACGGAGGGGAGAUGCCCCGCAACAAUCCCAAAGACUUCUCCGACACACAAAGAGAAAACUGUCUUGGGAUUCUCAAUGCCCAGCCCAAACAUCAUGUGAUGAUGAGACCAGAAAAAACUCCUUAAGUGAAAAGACAGAGAGAGCCCAUCUGCUGGUCCAUCUCCACAAAUGCCUGUGGCGGCAGAGGAUGGCCUCAUGUGGAGUCAGGAGCUGGAAAAUGCAGUCCAGGUCUGCCACGUGGGUGACAGGAA